This is a long non-coding RNA of Vicugna pacos (alpaca), 444 nucleotides long. RefSeq lists it as uncharacterized. The record is from RefSeq and is a predicted model, not a curated record. NCBI's taxonomy places the organism in Eukaryota, Metazoa, Chordata, Mammalia, Artiodactyla, Camelidae.
GUACGGAGUGGGGCGGGGCAUCCCAAUCCCUUCCCUCCGGUGAGGGCCGCCGGGACCACGAGGAGGGACGCAGCGCGCCUUGGCUUUGACGGCCAGGAGGCGCCUCUGAAAGCCUGUGUUCAUUUGCUGUUGCUGCUAUGAUGGCUCCUGAGGAACUGAGACCCUCGGUCCAGCAGCCCACAAGGAACUACAUGAGUGAGCUUGGCAUCAGACCCACCCCAGCGGAGCCCCAGGAUGCCUGCAGCCUGUGCAGGACCCUGAGCAGAGGACCCGGCUGAGCUUCACUCAGAUCUCUGACCGGCAGGCUGUGAGAUUGCAGAACCUCAAGAGAGGUGAGAGGAAAGGCCAUCUUCAUAUGAGACUCUUCCCUUCCCUACCCUCAACACCUUAUACGCUUGGCUAAGCAGCUUUAUUUUGAAAAGUGGCCCAACACCACAUUCCAUC